UCAUUGGAAACUGGGGGACUUGGGAGCAGGAGGGGAGAGAGCGGAAUUC
Molecule: ribosomal RNA, 49 nt
Filed under: Geobacillus stearothermophilus
Lineage: Bacteria; Bacillati; Bacillota; Bacilli; Caryophanales; Anoxybacillaceae
Description: partial 16S ribosomal RNA
Source: RNAcentral